UUUAAACUGGUUUGGGAAAACCAAAUAUAUUAUAUAUUUUGCUUUGUUCAAAAUAAGGUUUUCUAAUAAAUUAUGUUUUUAUCAGAUAUGACAGAAUCUUUUUUAAAAUCUCUUCAAUAUGCUUUUAUUGCUUUUGAGAGGUUUUGUUACUUUGAGUAAAAUUAAGUGUUCAUAACAGACGGGUAGUCAUGAUUGAGUUCAUUGUUU
RNAcentral lists this ribosomal RNA (207 nucleotides) under Plasmodium falciparum (malaria parasite P. falciparum). RNAcentral's name for it is "partial 18S ribosomal RNA". Lineage: Eukaryota; Apicomplexa; Aconoidasida; Haemosporida; Plasmodiidae. The record is from RNAcentral.